Non-coding RNA from Loxodonta africana (African savanna elephant), 72 nucleotides. NCBI's taxonomy places the organism in Eukaryota, Metazoa, Chordata, Mammalia, Proboscidea, Elephantidae. The record is from Rfam.
GCCCUGGUGGCUCAGUGGUUAAAGCAAUUGACUGCUAACUAAAAGGUGGGUGGUUCAAAACCACCAGUGGCU